Molecule: ribosomal RNA, 2145 nt
Filed under: Triticum aestivum (bread wheat)
Lineage: Eukaryota; Viridiplantae; Streptophyta; Magnoliopsida; Poales; Poaceae
Description: partial small subunit ribosomal RNA
Source: RNAcentral
AUGCCGCUGCGGCUGCCGCGUCACCGCCGCCACCUCGCGCCGGCACCAUGCGUCGGCCAGAGCCGUGCGGCGGCUUCGUGGGCCGCCGCCGUAGCCGACCACGCGCGCGCAGGCCGCCACGCCGCCGCGCUCACCGUCUUCCGACGCGUCCUCGCCGCCCACCCGGCCGCGGCCGCCGACGAGCUCGCCUACUCGGCGCUCCUCCGCUGCCGCGACGCCCGCCUGGGCUAUCAGAUACACGCGCAGGCGUGCCGCCGGGGCCUCGCCGCCUCCAACCCCGUCCUCGCCUGCUCCCUGCUCGCCUUCUACUCCGCCGCCCGCUCCGACCUCCCGGCCGCCGCCAGGCUGUUCGACGAAAUGCCAAUGCCGCGGAGGGACGCCGUCGCCUACACCGCCAUGAUGUCGGCUUUCAUCCGCGCCGGCGACUGGGCCCGGGCCCUGGCGCUCUACCCUCGCAUGCUCGCCGCCGGCGACGCGCCGCCCACCGAGCACACCUUCGCCAACCUGCUGGCACUCUGCGCCUCCAGGCAGCUGUGCUGCCACGGGAGGCAGCUCCACGCGCAGCUCCUCCGCUGGGGGGCCGACCUCAACCUGGUGCUCAAGACCGCGCUCCUCCACAUGUACUCCAGCUGUGGCUUCAUGGACCACGCGCACGCCGUGCUCUGCUCCACGCCCGACACGGACGUCGUGCUCUGGACGGCCAUGAUUGCCGGCUACUCACGCGCAGGAGACCUCCAGGCCGCUCUGCGCAUGUUCCGUCACAUGGAACAGGCUGGCGUGCUGCCCAGUGCCUUCACCUUCUCCGGGAUCAUCACCGCCUGUGCUUCUUCUUCCUCUGCCCAGCCCCAGGCGUCACAGACUGGACGGCAGCUCCAUGCCCGCGUCUUCAAGUUUGCUCUGGAGCACGACAUCUCUGUCUGCAACGCGCUCGUCGACUUGUACAGCAAGUCGUCCGCCCGUCUGCUCGACCUGCUCCAUGCGUUCAGUGCCACAGACAGCCCGAAUGUGGUGUCCUGGACUGCCUUGAUCUCUGGACUUGCACGCCAUGGCAGAGACAAGGAUGCAUUUGCGGCGUUCGCAGAGAUGCGGGCCAGCGAGGUGCAACCCAACUCAUUCACCGUCUCCACCCUUCUCAAGGGCUGUGGCUCCUCAGAAUCUUUCCUACAUGCUACAAAAAUCCAUGCUUAUGUGCUCAAGACCAGCCUUGGGUCUUUGGAUGUGUCUGUUGGGAACUCGCUGGUCGAUCUUUAUUCCAGGUUUGCAAGAAUGGAUGACGCGUGGGCAGUCGCGACAACAAUGGUCUGUGCAAGGGACAACCUCACAUACACAAGCCUUGCAAAGGGGCUGAAUCAGAUCGGCCUUCCAAGCAAGGCCCUUGAGUUGGUGGUCCUCAUGUUUCGUGAGGAGGUUCGUAUCGACGGUUUCAGUCUCGCCUGCUUCCUCUCUGCCGCUGCGACCUUGCCAUCCGUAGUGCCUGGAAAGCACUUGCACUGCUGCUCGCUGAAAUUGGGAUUGAGCAGUCAGGUCCCAGUUUCCAACAGCCUUAUCAACAUGUACAGCAAGCAUAAGUGUGUGGAGGAUGCUAAGAGCGUUUUCCACUCAAUCAGGGAGCCAAGUGUCGUGUCGUGGAACGCACUAAUAUCUGGGCUGGCAUACAACAAUGAGUGCUAUUAUGAAGCGCUGUCGGUUUUCGAAGACAUGACAUUGGCUGGGGCACAGCCUGAUAGUAUCACUUUCUCUGCUGUGCUUUAUGCCUGCACUCAUGGUGGCUUCGUUGACAUUGGCAUCAACCAUUUCAACUCUAUGAGGAAUUCGUUUGGUGUUUCCCCACAAAGGAGCCACUACACGCUCUUUCUGGAUAUGUUAGGACGAGCGGGUCGUCUUACGGAGGCGGCAUGCACCAUUGAGGCCAUGCCCAUCCGUCCUGACGUGUCCAUGUACAAGAAUCUGUUAGCAUUUUGCGAGCUCCAUAAUGAUCUGGUUGUUGCAGAAAAUAUCACAAGGAAGGCACUGGAGUUAUACCCAUCGGACACAGUAUUUCAGAAUACCCUUUCAGGCAUCAGUGGUGCUCCUUGGAAACAUGAGUGUGGUGCUCCAUGGAAACACAGGAUGAAGAGUGAUGCAGAUAUUCAAGCUAAAGCCUAA